RNAcentral lists this ribosomal RNA (585 nucleotides) under Pseudomonas sp. StFLB006. RNAcentral's name for it is "bacterial SSU rRNA". It matches the Rfam family "Bacterial small subunit ribosomal RNA", at positions 102 to 683 of the family's 1533-position model. Lineage: Bacteria; Pseudomonadati; Pseudomonadota; Gammaproteobacteria; Pseudomonadales; Pseudomonadaceae. The record is from RNAcentral.
ACGGGUGAGUAAUGCCUAGGAAUCUGCCUGGUAGUGGGGGACAACGUUUCGAAAGGAACGCUAAUACCGCAUACGUCCUACGGGAGAAAGCAGGGGACCUUCGGGCCUUGCGCUAUCAGAUGAGCCUAGGUCGGAUUAGCUAGUUGGUGGGGUAAUGGCUCACCAAGGCGACGAUCCGUAACUGGUCUGAGAGGAUGAUCAGUCACACUGGAACUGAGACACGGUCCAGACUCCUACGGGAGGCAGCAGUGGGGAAUAUUGGACAAUGGGCGAAAGCCUGAUCCAGCCAUGCCGCGUGUGUGAAGAAGGUCUUCGGAUUGUAAAGCACUUUAAGUUGGGAGGAAGGGCAGUAAGCGAAUACCUUGCUGUUUUGACGUUACCGACAGAAUAAGCACCGGCUAACUCUGUGCCAGCAGCCGCGGUAAUACAGAGGGUGCAAGCGUUAAUCGGAAUUACUGGGCGUAAAGCGCGCGUAGGUGGUUUGUUAAGUUGGAUGUGAAAGCCCCGGGCUCAACCUGGGAACUGCAUCCCAAACUGGCAAGCUAGAGUACAGUAGAGGGUGGUGGAAUUUCCUGUGUAGCGGUG